RNAcentral lists this ribosomal RNA (219 nucleotides) under Triticum aestivum (bread wheat). Its description in RNAcentral is "partial small subunit ribosomal RNA". Lineage: Eukaryota; Viridiplantae; Streptophyta; Magnoliopsida; Poales; Poaceae. The record is from RNAcentral.
AUUGGGUUGAAGAUCAAUUCAUACCGACAAGACUUUCCAUUCAUCUUUUUGUUGAUAUUUGGAUUCCAUUUUCAAAUAAAGUCAUCUUGUAGUUAGAAAUCACCUUUAGAAUCAUCAGCCUCUGUCCCUACACUGACUCGCUUAUCCGGGAUCGAUCCUCACUACAGUCCUUUAUUUCGAAACAAGGAUAGGUCUCUCGCGGAACGAGGUGUAGAUUGA